Molecule: ribosomal RNA, 524 nt
Filed under: uncultured bacterium
Lineage: Bacteria
Description: bacterial SSU rRNA
Rfam family: Bacterial small subunit ribosomal RNA
Source: RNAcentral
UGGGGAAUAUUGCGCAAUGGGCGGAAGCCUGACGCAGCGACGCCGCGUGGGGGGUGAAGGCCUUCGGGUUGUAAACCUCUUUCACCAGGAGCGAAUCCAGACGGUACCUGGGGAAGAAGCGCCGGCUAACUACGUGCCAGCAGCCGCGGUAAUACGUAGGGCGCAAGCGUUGUCCAGAAUUAUUGGGCGUAAAGAGCUCGUAGGCGGCCUGUCGCGUCCGCUGUGAAAUCCUGGGGCUUAACCCCGGGCGUGCAGUGGAUACGGGCUGGCUAGAGGCAGGCAGGGGAGAACGGAAUUCCCGGUGUAGCGGUGAAAUGCGCAGAUAUCGGGAGGAACACCGGUGGCGAAGGCGGUUCUCUGGGCCUGUUCUGACGCUGAGGAGCGAAAGCGUGGGGAGCAAACAGGAUUAGAUACCCUGGUAGUCCACGCCGUAAACGUUGGGCGCUAGGUGUGGGGCCCUUCCACGGGUUCUGUGCCGCAGCUAACGCAUUAAGCGCCCCGCCUGGGGAGUACGGCCGCAAGGC